Molecule: ribosomal RNA, 448 nt
Filed under: uncultured bacterium
Lineage: Bacteria
Description: SSU rRNA
Rfam family: Bacterial small subunit ribosomal RNA
Source: RNAcentral
AGAGCGAACGCUGGCGGCAUGCUUAACACAUGCAAGUCGCACGGGCAUUUCGGUGUCAGUGGCGGACGGGUGAGUAACGCGUAGGUAUCUAUCCUUGGGUGGGGGAUAACGGUUGGAAACGACUGCUAAUACCGCAUGAUAACUGAGGUUUAAAGGCGCAAGUCGCCUGGGGAGGAGCCUGCGUACGAUUAGCUUGUUGGUGGGGUAAAGGCCUACCAAGGCGACGAUCGUUAGCUGGUCUGAGAGGAUGAUCAGCCACAUUGGGACUGAGACACGGCCCAAACUCCUACGGGAGGCAGCAGUGGGGAAUAUUGGACAAUGGGCGAAAGCCUGAUCCAGCAAUGCCGCGUGUGUGAAGAAGGUCUUCGGAUUGUAAAGCACUUUCGACGGGGACGAUGAUGACGGUACCCGUAGAAGAAGCCCCGGCUAACUUCGUGCCAGCAGCCGC